GGAAAUAACCAAAGGCGGUCAGGAGGGAACUGCUGUCGAACUUCUCCGAGAUGUUGAGUCGUGAGUGCCAUGUAAGAGUGACGACCAAAGUCCUAUUUCCGAUCAGAAACGAACGGCCCAAGACUUGAAACCCAAUAGAUCUUCAGUAGAUAGCUCCUGACCGUGACUGGACGAACUUUGCUACUCUUCAACACGUCAUCAUCAAUCACCAUUAUUCCCUUGAUUACCCGCAUGUACAAGGUUCCGAGAUGUUGGACUUGCAGCCUGUUCAGUCCAUCUAUCAAAGAUGCUGUGGCGGCACUCAAAAAUAGGUUUGGUGCUGACAAAAACGGUAGUGAUAGUAGUAGCAGCAGCAGCCGCAGUAGCCUAUCACCAGAUAAGAAGAUCAACAAAAUGGUCUAAAACCCCCAAACAGAGAAUGGAGAAAAGCCGCAUAACUUAUUUGAAAAUUAAGAAAAAAAGAAAAAGCGAUGAUCCCCCCCCCCCAAUACUUGUAGUAGAUAAGCUGCACGUAGCUUUCAGAACCAUUUAGAAACGUCUCGAAGAAGUCUUAAUUGUUAUAAAUUAACUGUUGUACGAGUCAGUCCUUUACAUGUUUUCGUGAUAUUCAUAGGCCUAAUAUUAAUAUAUGUUAUACAAAUCAGUUCUUCAUUUCGGUAACAGUACAAUUUCAGUUUUAGAAUACUAAAGUAUCGUUCCGAUUUAGGCCUACAAUUUCGGUGUUUUGUAAAAGCUACAACAGUGGAAAUAAACGUUUUCACUUAAAAAGCUUGGUGUUUACAAAUCGUUUUCUUCACGUAACAAAAGCCAGCGAGAACAAUACUCCAAUUUAGUUCAAAAUCAGGCUUAAGAUUUCGGUGUUCUGUAAAAGCUACGGCAUUGGAAGUAAAUAUUUUCACAUUAAAAGUCUGUUGUUCACGAGUCGUUUUAUUCACGAAA
Molecule: unclassified non-coding RNA, 939 nt
Filed under: Limulus polyphemus (Atlantic horseshoe crab)
Lineage: Eukaryota; Metazoa; Arthropoda; Merostomata; Xiphosura; Limulidae
Description: frizzled-1-like, transcript variant X3
Source: RNAcentral